This 98-nucleotide ribosomal RNA is filed under the name Acanthosepion pharaonis. The record is from RNAcentral. Lineage: Eukaryota; Metazoa; Mollusca; Cephalopoda; Sepiida; Sepiidae.
AUGGAAACACUGUUUCCAGUAUGAUCACCAAAGUAAAGCAAUGUUGAGCCUGGUCAGUACCUAGAUUGGUGACUGCUUGGGAAUACCAGGUGCUGUAA